CAUGCUCCAAAGUCUCUAAACCCUCAUUGCAUAUUGGGCACGUCGCUGAGUUACUAAUUCUUUUGUUGCAUAAAUUUCUAAAUGUUGGGAUAUAGUUGUUGUAUACCCGCCAGUUUGUAAUUCUAAUUUUAUUUGGGAGAUAUAUAUGCCAAAGGUUAUUGUAAAAUUCUUUACCUGUAAUGUUAUUGUUAGCCAUUUCUGGGUUUGAAG
RNAcentral lists this long non-coding RNA (210 nucleotides) under Gossypium barbadense (sea-island cotton). RNAcentral describes it as "long non-coding RNA (GBAR_LNC001720)". The record is from RNAcentral. Lineage: Eukaryota; Viridiplantae; Streptophyta; Magnoliopsida; Malvales; Malvaceae.